This is a long non-coding RNA of Mangifera indica (mango), 370 nucleotides long. RefSeq lists it as uncharacterized. NCBI's taxonomy places the organism in Eukaryota, Viridiplantae, Streptophyta, Magnoliopsida, Sapindales, Anacardiaceae. The record is from RefSeq and is a predicted model, not a curated record. The transcript is spliced from 2 exons.
AUACCCAAAUCUUGGUUAUAGGUGAAACUUAAGGGGGGCUAUACAAAAUCUUGCACACAUAUGGGGAUUAAGUGGAAAUUUUCCUUUUAUUUGCUAAUAAAAGUCAGUAGCCUUUUCUUCUUCAGUAAGAAGAAAAGAAACAGAGCACAGACGGGAGAAAACAGAGAAAGAAAGGGGAAGAAGAGAAGGGAAGAAAGAAAAGAAAAGAAAGAAGAAGAAAAGAAAGAAAAAGAAGGAAAGGGAAAGGAAGAGAAAAGGGAUUUAUAGAAAAAGGGAAUAGGGUGAAGAAGAAGGGAGAUUAGCAAGAGAUUUCAACUCUGACUUAGAGGCUACCCAAAUCAGUGAGUGGGAAUAAACUUUUCUUUCUUUA